RNAcentral lists this ribosomal RNA (465 nucleotides) under uncultured bacterium. Its description in RNAcentral is "bacterial SSU rRNA". It matches the Rfam family "Bacterial small subunit ribosomal RNA", at positions 338 to 795 of the family's 1533-position model. The record is from RNAcentral.
CCUACGGGUGGCACCAGUGGGGAAUAUUGCACAAUGGGCGCAAGCCUGAUGCAGCCAUGCCGCGUGUAUGAAGAAGGCCUUAGGGUUGUAAAGUACUCUCAGUUGGGAGGAAGGCGUUGAUGCUAAUAUCAUCAACGAUUGACGUUACCAACAGAAGAAGCACCGGCUAACUCCGUGCCAGCAGCCGCGGUAAUACGGAGGGUGCAAGCGUUAAUCGGAAUUACUGGGCGUAAAGCGCACGCAGGCGGUUGAUUAAGUUAGAUGUGAAAUCCCCGGGCUUAACCUGGGAAUGGCAUCUAAGACUGGUCAGCUAGAGUCUUGUAGAGGGGGGUAGAAUUCCAUGUGUAGCGGUGAAAUGCGUAGAGAUGUGGAGGAAUACCGGUGGCGAAGGCGGCCCCCUGGACAAAGACUGACGCUCAGGUGCGAAAGCGUGGGGAGCAAACAGGAUUAGAUACCCCCGUAGUC